Molecule: ribosomal RNA, 400 nt
Filed under: uncultured bacterium
Lineage: Bacteria
Description: bacterial SSU rRNA
Rfam family: Bacterial small subunit ribosomal RNA
Source: RNAcentral
UUAGGAAUCUUCCACAAUGGGCGAAAGCCUGAUGGAGCGACGCCGCGUGAGGGAUGAAGGCCUUAGGGUUGUAAACCUCUAAAAGAGGGACGAUAAUGACGGUACCUCUUGAAUAGCACCGGCUAACUCCGUGCCAGCAGCCGCGGUAAUACGGAGGGUGCAAGCGUUAUCCGGAAUCACUGGGCGUAAAGGGCGCGUAGGCGGUCUGUUAAGUCCGAUGUUAAAUCCCGGGGCUCAACCCCGGAUAAGCGUUGGAUACUGGCAGGCUAGACGGUUGGAGAGGCGAGUGGAAUUACCAGUGUAGCGGUGGAAUGCGUAGAUACUGGUAGGAACACCCAUUGCGAAGGCAGCUCGCUGGACAACACGUGACGCUGAGGCGCGGAAGUGUGGGGAGCAAACC